UACCAGCACCCCCGAGUGGUCGGGACGUUUAUUGGGCCUAAAGCAUCCGUAGCCGGUUCUACAAGUCUUCCGUUAAAUCCAGCUGCUUAACAGAUGGGCUGCGGAAGAUACUAUGGAGCUAGGAGGCGGGAGAGGCAAGCGGUACUCGAUGGGUAGGGGUAAAAAUCCGUUGAUCCAUUGAAGACCACCAGUGGCGAAGGCGGCUUGCCAGAACGCGCUCGACGGUGAGGGAUGAAAGCUGGGGGAGCAAACCGG
This 255-nucleotide ribosomal RNA is filed under the name uncultured bacterium. RNAcentral describes it as "partial 16S ribosomal RNA". It matches the Rfam family "Archaeal small subunit ribosomal RNA", at positions 474 to 727 of the family's 1478-position model. The record is from RNAcentral.